Long non-coding RNA from Mya arenaria, 1019 nucleotides. RefSeq lists it as uncharacterized. NCBI's taxonomy places the organism in Eukaryota, Metazoa, Mollusca, Bivalvia, Myida, Myidae. The record is from RefSeq and is a predicted model, not a curated record. The transcript has 4 exons.
UUCACCGAAGCAUGUGUGAAGUAGCUGUCUAGAUAGAUUGGAAGUGUUCUCUUCGUGCUUAUCCUCAUGUUUCUUUGAAGAACUUGAGAACCAUGUUCCUGAAUAUUAACAUGCUUCUGAAGAUUGAGUAAAAAAGUAUUCCCCAAGGUGCGUGUGUGGAUACGUACCAGUGCAUUGACGCCAACAGCACGUGCGUAAGAGAACGUUGCACGUGUACGUACGGGCUUUUCGCUAACGGAUCCGUCUGUGAUCCACAAACGGGACUGGGCGGAUCGUGCACGGUGGAAUGGGAGUGCCGUGGCCGCCACACGUCAUGCACGGCGGGAACAUGCACGUGUCAGUUUGGCUUCUUGCAUGUCAACGGCACGGACAAUUGCUCGGGCACUAAAGGUUUAGUUCUGGCCCAAGACACCGGUCUAAUGGUGACACUAGCUGUUGUGAGCGUGAUGUUAGCUUCCUUUCUGCACCAAUGAUGGAUAAAUGUGACUGUGACACUAGAUGUUGUAACCGUGAUGUUAGCUUCCUUUCUGCACCAAUGAUGGAUAAAUGUGACUUUGACACUAGAUGUUGUAACCGUGAUGUUAGCUUCGAUGAACAAAUGUGACUGUGACACUAGCUGUUGUAACCGUGAUGUUAGCUUCGAUGAACAAUUGUGACUGUGACACUAGCCGUUGUUACCCUGAUGUUAGCUUCGAUGAACAAAUGUGACUGUGACCCUAGCGGUUGUAACUCUGAUGUUAGCUAAGAUGAACAAAUGUGACUGUGACACUAGCCGUUGUUACCCUGAUGUUAGCUUCGAUGAACAAAUGUGACUGUGACACUAGCUGUUGUAACUCUGAUGUUAGCUUCGAUGAACAAAUGUGACUGUGACACUAGUCGUUGUUACCCUGAUGUUAGCUUCGAUGAACAAAUGUGACUGUGACACUAGCUGUUGUUACUCUGAUGUAAGCUUCGAUGAACAAAUGUGACUGUGACACUAGCUGUUGUUACCCUGAUGUUAGCUUCGAUGAACAAAUGUG